This is a long non-coding RNA of Agelaius phoeniceus (red-winged blackbird), 2463 nucleotides long. RefSeq lists it as uncharacterized. The record is from RefSeq and is a predicted model, not a curated record. NCBI's taxonomy places the organism in Eukaryota, Metazoa, Chordata, Aves, Passeriformes, Icteridae.
CAGCAGUGAAGAAACUUACAGGGGUGUUGUGUUUCCUGGUACCUGUGGACUCCCUGCUUAGCUUUUGAACGUGGAUCAGAUUAUAGAAGUCCCAGCUCUCUAGUCACCUAAAAUAUUCAUUGGCUUGUUAAAGAGAAGUACAUCUGCUGCUGUGAAGCCAAGAUUUGGUUUAGAAUUCUGUCACAGGACUCUACUGGUCUGUCUUUAACAGAAGAUGUUAUAAAGCUAAUUUUACCAUAAAAAAGAGGUUGUAGGAAGGCAGUGGAAACUCAUUCAGAACAGGGAACAUAUUCCUUUAGAGCAUUCAAGUAUUUCUUGUGAAUAUUUUGUGAAUGAUCAGCUGUGAAAAAGGUUCGUUUGGGCAUGUUAGAGCCUCAUUAAGAUGGUUUGGCAGUCCCUGAGGAGGAACCUGUAUGGCAGGAUAACUGUGUGAUGUCUCACACUGUUACCCCAAAAGGACAGUCACUGAUACUUAGAAAGUGGGAGUUUUGGGAAAUGGUGGGUGGAAAUACUCUCUCAAGCCAUGUAAUUAAAAUGAAACAAGCGGCCAGAGGAGCUGAUCCAGCAAGAUUCAAAGCAGGCAGGUAUUUGUGUGAGCACCAGCAUGGCCAAAAACACUCUGACAAGAGAUCAAACGUGUGACUCAGGGUUCAAACUGAUCUUUAUGGCAAAGAGAACUGCCCUUUUCUGUGUAACAGGAUAUCAAAAUUUGCUUUUCACAGUGCCUUGUGCUCUCCUCGAGUUCCCUGGUGCUGAAUUAGGGAGAAGGGGCUGGACUGGCAGGAAAGGGGAUGUGGAAAAUCAUCUUGCUGAUGGUGUUGCUGUGCAGGGAGGAGUUCAGAGGUCCCCCUGCUGUACCCUGCUCCCCACGGAGCACAGCCUCAGCCCCAUGUGGGCAGUGUCAAAACCCUGUGCUGGCACACACAGCUCAGAACGUGGGUUUGGGCCAAAGAAGAGGCUGAGCUGGCAGCAGUGGGCCUCCCCUGGCUGGAGGGUCUGGGCUCCUGAGACCUUUGAGGAGCAUGUUUGCUUCACUUCACAGAGACUGAAGGGGAAAUGUGCACUGCCCAUUCCUGCACUGGGAUCCCGACUGCUCCUGGAAGACAUUAGGAUUUAGGAUCAGGGUUUAGGAUUUCCUGCCAGCCUCUGUCCCCUUAGCUCUGUGGUUAUACACCAUGUAAACUGACGUGCUCCAGAGUGAGCUCCCUGAUGCUGCAGAGCUCAUGUGGGGAGGGUUUUUGUAGCAUCUGCAGCUCAGGACUGGGUGGGGUUUAUUCCAGUUCCACUUUCAGUUUAACUUCAGCAUCUGGCACUUCUCAGCAAAUUCAGGAGUCUUCUUUGGGUUUCUAUGUUACUACUGCCCAUUUCCAGUGUUUGCUGUCCCUGUUGCCUUUCUGAAGGGGAUCAGUUCCCUUGGAUAGCUGACCAGAGUUGAGAGAAGCAGCUCCCAGGCUGUGCUGCUGCUCCAUCCCCGGUGUCUGGGAGCCAAUCUGGCUGUCCAGGAGGAGCUCCAGACUCGCUCUUCUCACUGCAGACACUCCAGCUGACAGCACCAGGGAUUCAUCUGCUCCCAAAGCCUGCAGAAACACGGGAUGAGCCUUGUGUUUGAUCUGGCACAGUGCAGCACUGGAGAGUGGCAUGAGACAUUCCUCCAGGGAUGGAAAUGCACAGCCACCAGUAGUCAAACCUGGUUUUGGGAAGUUGAACUGUAGAUUAUCCAUCCCAGUAAUUCCAGUGUGGCUACACAGGGUUUCAUAUAGGUUGAGGAAUUGGAGUAUUAUGGUUUCUAUAUUGGCACAAAAAUGUUCAGGCAUAAAUAUCAUUACUCUGUUUCUGGCAGGCUUGGAAAUUCCACUGCACUCUCAUAAAUAGGGAGAGAUGGCCCCAGUUGGUUUUGUGGGUUUGUUUUCCUGUUUUAUUUUAACUGCAGAAAUCUGGUGUCAGUGCUGGAGCCAGCUGGAACAGCAGGACACUGCUCCUCCUUAUAAAGUGCCUAAUGUCACAUUUUCUAGUUCAUUGCAGCAAGAUUUGAUCCUAUCCUUUUGGUCAGCCUCCUCAAGGAAGGGUCCCAGGUUACUGAAAGCUCCGUGUAUCUCCUGGAGCAGGGAGUGCAGCUGGCAGAUUUAUGGCAUGUGGAAAUUCUCCUUAAUAGGGAUAAAGGAGAAAGUUUUCAGACAGAGAAUUUCUUCAGAGAUGUGUGUGUACAAGGAAAUGGGUCCUGUUGAGAGCUCAGGACCUCCAAACCACCACAUGAAUGAGCAUCAUUCAGUCCAUUGUGCAAACUGUAAACAGGCAGAAAAUAGAUUUAUAGAGAAGAAAACCUUUUGUACUUUCUGCAUGUACUACUGCAGAACACUCACUCACCAGCUCUUCUGUCCUGCAGGCUUUGGAUUUCCCACUGUUGCUGGGUUUGCAUAUAUGGAAAUGUGAAAUGGUAACAUUUAAUAAAAUCCACGAACCAUU